RNAcentral lists this ribosomal RNA (500 nucleotides) under uncultured bacterium. RNAcentral describes it as "bacterial SSU rRNA". It matches the Rfam family "Bacterial small subunit ribosomal RNA", at positions 29 to 521 of the family's 1533-position model. The record is from RNAcentral.
AUUGAACGCUGGCGGCGUGCCUAACACAUGCAAGUCGAGCGGUAACAGGUGUAGCAAUACAUGCUGACGAGCGGCGGACGGGUGAGUAACGCUUGGGAAUCUGCCUAUUAGUGGGGGACAACCCGGGGAAACUCGGGCUAAUACCGCAUACGCACUACGGUGGAAAGCCGGGGACCGCAAGGCCUGGCGCUAACAGAUGAGCCCAAGUCGGAUUAGCUAGUUGGUAGGGUAACGGCCUACCAAGGCGACGAUCCGUAACUGGUCUGAGAGGACGACCAGUCACACCGGAACUGAGACACGGUCCGGACUCCUACGGGAGGCAGCAGUGGGGAAUAUUGGACAAUGGGCGAAAGCCUGAUCCAGCGACGCCGCGUGGGUGAAGAAGGCCUGCGGGUUGUAAAGCCCUUUCAGUGGGGAAGAAAAGCCUCGAGCUAACACCUCGGGGUCUUGACGUAACCCAUAGAAGAAGCACCGGCUAACUCUGUGCCAGCAGCCGCAGU